RNAcentral lists this unclassified non-coding RNA (237 nucleotides) under uncultured Gemmatimonadaceae bacterium. RNAcentral's name for it is "contains 16S-23S intergenic spacer region". The record is from RNAcentral. Lineage: Bacteria; Pseudomonadati; Gemmatimonadota; Gemmatimonadia; Gemmatimonadales; Gemmatimonadaceae.
UCCGGUUUAGACCGGUGUUUCCACCAGCUUUCACGUGCAUGUCAAGCCCAGGUAAGGUUCUUCGCGUUGCAUCGAAUUAAACCACAUGCUCCACCGCUUGUGCGGGCCCCCGUCAAUUCCUUUGAGUUUCAACCUUGCGGCCGUACUCCCCAGGCGGGGCACUUAUUGCGUUAGCGACGGCACCGGGAGGGUCGCUCCCCCCGACGCCUAGUGCCCAUCGUUUACGGCGUGGACUAC